This 205-nucleotide ribosomal RNA is filed under the name uncultured bacterium. RNAcentral's name for it is "partial 16S ribosomal RNA". It matches the Rfam family "Bacterial small subunit ribosomal RNA", at positions 570 to 774 of the family's 1533-position model. The record is from RNAcentral.
CGUAGGCGGCCUUUCAAGUCGGAUGUGAAAUCCCCCGGCUCAACCGGGGAAUUGCGUCCGAUACUGUUGGGCUUGAGUACAGGAUGAGAGAGCGGAAUUCCCAGUGUAGCGGUGAAAUGCGUAGAUACUGGGAGGAACACCGGUGGCGAAAGCGGCUCUCUGGCCUGAUACUGACGCUGAGGCACGAAAGCUAGGGUAGCAAACG